ACCCUGGUUGAUAACUAGGUGAACGGUCUCAAUCAACCCACGGCCUUUGCCCUUUAAGUAUCAGGGAGAUUACUGUUGAGGAACUUACACGGCUUCGGACUGCUCAAUGAUGUUUUGCUGUUUAUUUUCUCGCAACAUAC
Molecule: small nucleolar RNA, 140 nt
Filed under: Aureobasidium subglaciale EXF-2481
Lineage: Eukaryota; Fungi; Ascomycota; Dothideomycetes; Dothideales; Saccotheciaceae
Source: RNAcentral